This 10130-nucleotide small RNA is filed under the name Rattus norvegicus (Norway rat). RNAcentral describes it as "uncharacterized LOC102554698". The record is from RNAcentral. Lineage: Eukaryota; Metazoa; Chordata; Mammalia; Rodentia; Muridae.
UAUAUCAUCAACUAUGAUGUUUUAUAAUGUUAAGGUAUAUCCUGUGAUGGUUGAAGUAUGUCAUGUACUACUUGCCUUUGAUUUUAUAGGGGAUUAUACUCAAGAUAUUCCAUGAUUCUCAGAAGAGACUUGGGACUUUCAAACAUUGUUGUGGUGUGUUAGACUAUCGGGACUUUUGGAGUUGGAGUUAAUAUAUUUUGUAUAGUGUAAUGCUAGAGCUUGUCAUAAUCCCAUUGCCUCAUGUGUUUAAACAAGACUAUGAAUGCCAUAGACUGGAAUGUGAUUGGUGAGAUAUGUUUAGCCUAUGAGAAGUAGUUUGCAAUAAUCAGGCAUGUGGCCUUGUUGGGGAAGGUAUAGCUUUCCUACAGGAAGUGUGUCAGAUUGUGUCACAAUGGAGGCAGUGCUUUGAAAUGUCAGGAAAUUGUCAAUUCUGGGCAGAGUGAUCCAGACCAUACUCCCGGCUGGCUGUAAAAGAGAGUCUCCUAACUGGAUAAAGCUGUAGAACCCUUGGCUCCUCCAGCACCAUGGCUUCCUAUAUGCUGUCAGGCUUCCUGACAUGAUCGUAAUAUUAGGAAUUUACUAGCAGGGCUGAUGGUAUUGCUAUGGUAGGUCUGACCAUAGUUUUGUUUGAAGGAAUAAUUAUUUUAGGAUUUUGUAAUGGAGGGGAGGCUUUAAAUGGGGCUUAUCGGUCCAUAGGAUUAGAAGCAUGGAAGACAGUGUUGCUGAGAGUGAUUUCAACUGUGGGGGCCUGUCUCUAAGAAACUUCAAAGGAGAAGACUCAUAAACCUGAAUCUCCAAAGUGUCCCCAGAUAAUAUUAUGAUGACAAUCAUCCAUGAGCCAUCAAUGUCCAUAUUGAAACCUACAAUCAUUGUUGCUUCUGAAGAGAUUUCUAACGUCAAGGAUCCCUGAAGCCAGCAGAAUGUACGCUGAAGUUCACAGUCAAUACUGCAACCUCAGGUCAUGUUGAGAGUUCCACAUAUAGUGAGUUGAGGUCACAUAUAUACUGGCAACAGACAACAGUGCAUGUAUGUGAUACUUCAGGCCUCAGCAGCCAUGAUAUCAUUGAUCUCCACUGCCUCACGAGAGCACAUUAAUAUGAGUGUCUCCAACUGCCAGUAAAAUCAUUACAGAUAUCAGUUAUCCAUGAUCCUGUCCAACUUGUGAGAAGGGUUCUGCCAGCUGUAACCAUUUUUAUGUCAUGUUGUAUCCUGUCACUAAACAAGAGGUUUCUGUUCAUGGCCAUACCUGCUAUCUGAAACUAUCUUAAUGUCCCUGAUAUUCAUGGCAACUGACACCAUGGUGUAUCUCUGAUCCUUCCUGCAACUUUGGAUCAGUUGAUAACAUGAGAAAUACCGGCAUCCAAAGAAAAUACAUUGAUAUUACUCAUAUACAAUGCCACUGGUAACAAUACUGAGAUCCAUAGUCAGUGUUGUGCUGGAAAAGAUCCCUGAUGUCUUAGAUCCCAAUGCCAGAAGAGUCUAUUAUAAAGAUCAUUGUCAGUAGUGCUGCCUACUGUCAUAAUGAGGUAAGUACUGUGUUUUGUUAAUGAAGACACCAUUGAUGCCAGUGAUCCUACCUGCAACCUGAAGUUAUGUUAAGGUCACUGCUGUUUGAAGUGAUCAGCAAUCAAGAUGGAGUCCAUUGUUAAUAUCACUGAAGGUGAUCUUGGCGAUGGCUAUGAUCUACAUUGUUUCUGGAGAACCUGAUGAAUGCCAAGGUCCAUACUGAUGCAGAACGUCAUUUUGAGGUAAUUGUUUUGAGCUGGCACUGGAGAUCUGAUUGAUAGCUGAGAUUCGACCCAUCACAGUAAAUUCAGUUGAAGUUUCUGAUGCAUGCAUGUAUCCUCCGAUGUUGAUCAUGCAAAGUAUUUUGAUGCCAGCAAUCCUACCUGUAUCAUGAAGCUCUGUUGAUGUCAGUGAUGUAUUCUGUGUCCAGAAAUAAUGAAGGAGUACAUUUUUCAUAUUGGUGAUGGAGUCUCUGAUGAUGGCUAAGAUAUGUGUUGCUGUUCGAGCACCUGAUAAAUUCCAAGGUCCUUAUUGAUUCCUGAAUUCAUAUUGAGGAAAUUCUGUUGAUGUUCCUGAUGCAUGCAUAUAGGUCCAGAUGCUAUAUGUGCAAUAUAUGAUGAUGCCUAUGAUAAUAUCUGAAACAUAAACCUAUGUAGAUGUAAAUGCUGCAUGAUAUGAGCUGCAAUCAUGAUGGAGUCCCUUAUUCCUAUCGUUGAUGGCAUAUCAUAGUUAAGGCUAUGAUCUGUGUUGCUGUUUGAGAAUCUGGUGAAUUUGACAGUCAAUACUGAAGCCCAAGGUCAUAUUGAGGAGAAAUGUUUUACCAGUCUAACCGUUUUGAUGUCAUGAUGCAGCCUACCACUACAGAAGAGGUUUCUGUACAAGGUCCUACUGAUCAUCUGAAUAUGCAGAGUACUGGAUAUGCAUAAUACUUCCUGGCAAAAGUCAAGAUGGCAUAUUCCAGAUCAAUGCUGCCAUAAGCAGCAAGGUUAUGACUAAUACUUGCUGUCACUUUGGACCUGAUCGAUGACAUCAAUGAUCCCAACUGUCAAAGGAAGUAUAUUGAUGUCACUCAUCCAUGAUGCUACUGGUGAUCAUGUUGAAAUCCAAAGUCAGUGUUUUCAUGGAAGUAUUCCCCGAUGUGUGAGAUCUCUGAGACAGCAGAGUCUUUCGUGAAGUUCAUGAUCAGUAGUGAUGCCCAAGGUCAUAAUGAGGUAAGUGUUGUGUGCUGCUACAGGAGAUGCAUUGGAUGCCUGUGACUACCUGAAACAUGAAGUUAUUCUGAUGCCAGUGCUCCAGCUGUGACCAGCAAUCAUUAUGGAGUCCAUUAUUCCUAUUACUGAUUGAGACCCUGGUGAUUGCUAUGAUCUCAUUUGCUUCUGGAAAACUACCUGAAUGCCAAUGUCCAUACAGACAACUGAUGUCAUAUUGAGUGUUCUGAGAUGACACUGGAGAACAGAUUGAUGGCUGAGAUCCUAAGUGUCACAGGGAAUUCUGUUGAUGUUCCUGACAAAAACAUGUAGUCUGUGAUGUCUAUCAUGGAAUGUAUCUUGAUGCCUGUGAUCCUACCUUUAACAAGAAGCUAUGUUGAUAUCAGUGAUACAUUCUGUGACCAGCAAUCAUGAAGGAGUCCAUUAUUCCUAUUGGUGAUGGAGAUCCUGGAAUGGCUAUGAUCUACAUUUCUGCUUGAGAACCUGAUAAAUUCCAAGGUUCUUAUUGAUGCCUUCUAGCAUACUGAGGUAAGUGUUCUUAGUUGGCCCUGGAUAUCAUAUUGAUGUCUGAGAUCCUACCUCCCACAGGAAAUUCAGAAGAUGUCAUGGGUGCAUGCAUGUAGCUCCUGCUGUUAAUCAUCAUUACCACCCCAAGAAGUGGAAGUGAUGCCUAAUAUCUAUCCUGCCACUGGAGAAGAGGUUUAUAAUCAUAAUUUCAUCUGCUGUUCGAAUUGUUGCUGAUGUCACUGAAAUAUACCUGGCAAGAGACACCACAGUAUUGCCCAUCAUCCAUACUGCUUUUGACAAAGUUGUCAGUGAUCUCUGAUUCCACUGGGAACCAUGCUAAUAUCACUAAUCCAAAGUGCCUACAGCAACUUGGAUGGUGUGAAUCAUCCAUCCUGUACCAGGAGCUAUGUUGAAACCCAUAGAAUAUAUUGCUUCUGAAGACAUGAUUAUUGUUAAUGGUACCUGAAUCCAUCAAAGUAAGGUGAAGUUCAAGUUCAAUAGUGCUGCCAAUGGUAAUGUUUAGUUAUAUUUUCUGACAUAUGUUAUGUUGAGAGCAUAUAAAUUGUGGUGAUGUACACUGGUGUAUGUCCAUAAUACCUCAGGCCUCCAACAGCCAUGCAAGUAAUACCUGCUGCCAUUAGGGAUAGGAGUUUAUCCAACUGCCAAUGGAAUUAUUACUGAUAUCUGUUUUCCAUUCUUCUGCUCAAUUUAUGAGAAUAUUCUUGCCCUCUAUAACAAUUUUGAUGUCAUGAUGCAUCCUGCCACUAGAGAAGAGGUUUAUGUUCAUGACCAUACUUCUCCUCUGAAACUAUUUUGAUGCUCCCUAAUACUUUGUGGCAACUGACUCUACUUUAUAUCCCACAACCCUGAUGCCAUAGGCAACCAGGUCAGGGGUGAAGCUUACUCCCACUUUGGACCAUUCAAUGAAACCAGAGACCACAACUGCCAAGGGAAGUAUAUUGAUAUCACUCAUCCAUGAUACCACUGGUAACCAUGUUGAGAUCCAUAGUCAAUGUUUGUAGGUGGAAUGGCUUAGCAACAAAUGUUGCCUUUGACGAGCUCCUUGGCUGCUGAGAUCCCUUGGCCACUAGAGUCUAUUGUAAAGAUCAUUGUCAUUAUGGCUGCCUAAGUUUAUAAACAGGAAAGAGCCGUAUACUAUUACUGUCAUCACCUUUGAUGUCAGUGAUCAUAUCUUCAUUUUGAAGUUCUGCUGAUAUCAUUGUAUGCUCUAAUCAGCCAGCGUGAUAGAGGCCAUUGUUCCUAUUACAUAUGGAAAACCUAAUGAUGACUAGAAUCUGUGUUGCUUCUGGAGAAACUUCUGAAUUCCAAGGACCUUGGGACCAAUAUCAUCCAAGGUCAUAUUGAGGGUAAGUGUUGUUAGCUGACAAAACUAAUCUCUGAGAUCCUACCCACCACAGGGAAUUCUACUGAUGUUCCUGAUGCAUGCAUGUAGCUCCUGAUGUGAAAAAACAUUGUAUUUUGAUGCUUAUGAUCCUACCUGUAACAAGAAGUUGUGCUGAUACCAGUGCUGCAUGUGGUGACUAGAAAUCAUGAUGGUGUCCAUUAUUCCUAAUGCUGAUGGUGAUGGCUCUUAUUUGUGUUGCUGCUUGAGAAUCCAAUGAAUCCCAAGGUCCAUACUGAUGCCCAUGAUCAUUUUGAUGUAAAUAUUUUUAGCUGGUACUGGAGAUCCGAUUGUUAUCUAGAAGCCUACCCGAAACAGGAAAAUUGGUUGAUGUUCCUUAUACAUGUGUGUAGCCCCCCAUUUUAAACAUGUAAUAAAUAUUGAUGCCUGUGAUCCUGCCUGAAACAUGAAGCUGUUUUGAUGUCAGCACUGUUUGAUGACCAGCAAUCAUGAUGGAAUCUAUUAUUUCCAUUGCUAAUGGACACACUGGUGAUGGCUAUGAUCUAUGCUUUUGCUUGAGAACCCGAUGAAUCCAAAGGUCUGUAAUGAUGUGGUAGGUGAUAUUGAGUGUUAGUUCUGGUGCUAAAGGUCAUAAUGAGGCAAGUCCUGUGUGUUCCUACUGGAGACAUGUGAUGCUAGUGAUGCUAGUGAUGUUGAUGCUAGUGAUCAUGUGUGAAACCUGAAGCUGUGUUGAUGUCAGUGCUGCAUGCUAUAACCAGAAAUCAUGAUGGAGUCUAUUAUUGUGAUGGCUAUGAUCUGUGCUGCUUCUGGAGAACAUGCUAAAUUCUGAGGUCCAUACUGACACAUGAGGUCAUAGUGAGGUAAGUGUUCUUAUCUGGCACGUGAGAUCAGAUUGAUUUAUGAGAUCCAACUUGCCAUAGGAAAUUCUGUUCGUGUCCCUGAUGCAUACAUGUAGAACCUACUAUCAACCAUGAAACACACAAUAUCCUUACUACCACCAUAAGUGCUAGUUUUGUCAAUAAUAUAUCCUGUCACUGGAGAAGGGUUUGUGACCAUAAUUUCUUCUCUCCUGUGAAUCAGUGCUGAUGGCACUGAUAUAUACCUGGCAGCAGACACCAUGGUAUUGUCCAAGAUAAUUGAUGCCAAUGGCAAACUUAUUGUCAGUGAUCCUAGCUUCAUGGGGUACCAUGUUUAUGUCACUAAUGCAAAGAGGCUGCAGAGACUUUGAUUAUGUGAGUCAUACAUGCUGCCUCUAGUAGCCAUGUUGAAAUCCAUAGUCAGUGUUGGUGCUGAAGACAUUGUGGAUGUUAAGAAUCCCUGAGAUCAUCAGAAUCUACAAUGAAAUUCAGUCAAUAAUGCUGUCUUGGAUCAUGUUGAGUUACAUGUUCUGAGACAAGAUAUAUGUUGAGUAUGUAUUUAUAAAAGUCAGACACCACUGUGUGUCUAUAAUUCUUCUGGUCUCUAGUAGCCAAUAUGUCAUUGAGCCCUUAUGACAUUUGUGACCACAUUAAUAUGACUUUAUUAAUUGCCAACGGAAUCACUACUGAUGCUUAUUAUCUAUGCUUCUGCAGAAAAUCUAAGAAGUAUCUUGCAUUCAUAAGUAAUUUGAUGCAAUGAUUCACUCUACAACUAGAAAUAAGGUUUCUCUAUAUGGUCAUACCUGCACUUUGAAAGUAUUUUCAUGUCCUUUGUACUUCCUGGCAAUGGACACCAUGUUAUCUCACAGAUCCCUGCUGCCAUAGACAACCAGAUCAUGAGUGAUCCCUAUUCCCACUUUGGACCAAAUUGAUAACAUCUGUGAUCCCAACUACCAAGGGAAAUACUGACAUUACUGAUAAUAAUCCAUGUUGUCACUGAUAAUCAUGUUGACAUCCAUAAUCUGUGUGGUCAUUGCAAAUAGCAAUGUUAAGAAUCCCUGAGACCAUCAGAAUCUAUAAUGAAGUUCAGUCAAUAGUGCUGCCUUUGAUAAUGUUGAGUUACAUGUUCUGAGAUAUGUUAUGUUGAGGUCAUACAUAUAGUCACACCAGACACCACUGUAUGUCCAUGAUAUUUCAGGCCUCUAGUUAAAUCAACCAGAAGGAUCUAUUGUGAAUUCCACGGUAAUUCAAUCCCUGUCUAAAGUCAAAGUGAGGUAAGUGUUGUGUGCUGCUACUGGAGACAUGUUUGAUGUCUGUGAUCCUAACGGCAACCUGAAGCUAUGUUGAUGGCAAUGCUGAAUCAUGAUGGACUCCAGGAUUCCUAUUGCUGAUAGAGACCAUGGUUAUGGCUAGGAUCUCUGCUGCUAUUUAAGGACAUGUUAAUUCUAAGGUCUAUACUGACAGUUGAGGUGAUAUUGAGGUAUGUGUUCUGAGUUGGCACUAGAGAUCACAUUAAUAUCUGAGAUCCUGCCUGCUACAGGAAAUUCUGUUGAUGUCCCUGAUGCAUGCAUGAAUCCCCUGAUGUAAACCAUGAGUUCACUGAUAUAUACAUCAUUGGAAGAGACAGCACUGUAUGUCUAUAUUCUUUAAUGCCACAAGCAGCCAUAUUGUCAGUGAUUCUUUCCCCACUUGGGACCACAUUAAUAUGAAUGAUUCCAAUUGUCAUUGGAAUCUAUACUGAUGUGAGUGAUGCAUGCUUCUGUCACCUGUGAGAAUGUUCUUUAUGAGAAGUAUACUCGUAGCUAUAAUAAUUUUGAAGUCAAUGAUUCAUUCUGACACUAUAGAUAUUAUUACUUCUCAUGGUCCUCCCUGCCCUAUGAAACUACCAUGAUGUUCCUGAUACUUCCUGGCAAUUGACAUCAUAGUAUAUCCAAGAUUCCCUAAUGCUACAGGCAACCAGGAUUUUAAUGAUCCCUAUUGAUACUUUGGACUAAAUGUGAUAUCAAUUGUCCUAUUUGCUAAGAGAAAUAUAUUGAUUUUACUCACCUGUUUUACUGUUUAUAACCACAUUGAGAUCCAUAGUCAGUGCUGUUUCUAAAGACCUUCUUGAUGUCUAUGAUCAAUGUGGCCAGCGUGUCAAUUGUGAAGUUCAUGGUCACAACUGCUUCCAAAGAUCAUAAUGAGGAAGACCUUAUUGAUGACAAGGAUCUGUGCUGCUGCAUGAGAACAGGCUGAAUUCCAAGUUCUAUACUGAUGUGCAGGGUCAUAUUGAGACCUCAUUAUGAGUAAUAUCCUUUCUGCCACAAGAAGAAAUUUGAUAUAAUUGAUUCAUCCUGCUACUGGAGAAGAGACUUAUGUUCAUAAUUUCUUCUACCCUCUGAAUCAACACUGAUGUCAGUGAUACAAUUGUCAACAGAUAUCAUACUAUAUCUAUAGUCCCUGCUGCAAUAGCAAGCAUCAUAUUAAAUAUUUGUGCUGCCAUUUUGGACCAGGAUGAUAUCAGUUACCACAACUGCCAACAGAAAUAUAGUGAUGUCACUCAUCCAUGCUUCUACCUGUAAAUAUAUUACUAUCCAUAGAUGUUGCUGCCUCUGAAGAGCUUUGUGAUGUCUGUUAUCCAUGGUGCUAGAAGAGUCUGUCUUGAAGUUCAUGGUCGAUAAUACUGCCUAAGUCAUGUUGAUGUAUGUGUACUAUGCUGCCACCAGAGACGUGUUUUAUGACUGUGACCUGACUUGCCUCCUGAAGCAGUGUUGAUGUCAUGGCUGCAUACUGACAUCACUAAUUGUGAUGGUGUUUAUUGUUCCAGUGGCAGGUAGGACCUGCCCUAUGAAACUAACAUGUACCAAGGGAUAAAUGCAUGCAUUAAGGACAUGUACCAGUACAACAAAACACAGGAGUGUAUGAAAUGCCUUUUAUGCAUGCAUGAAGCCCCUGCUGACUAAUCAUAACUCUUUUGACUAUAUUAUGCAUAAGAUCCUCACUGAAAUCAGAAGAAUUGUUCAAGAUGUCAUUGAUCCAUCCUGACAAUGGAGAAGAUGUUUAUGUUAAUAUUCUCUCUUGCCCUCUGAAUCUAUACCAAUGUCCAUGAUAUGCUCAGAAACAGAUACAAUGGUAUUGCCCAAGAUAAAUGCUGCCACAGGUAACCUUGAUUUUAGUGAUCCCUGUUGCAAAUGAGUACAAUGUUAAUAUCACUAAUUCAAAGUGCCACCAGAAACUAUGCUGAUGUCCAUCAUCAAUGAUAACACCGGCAUCAAGGUUGAAUGCCAUAGUCCAUGUUGGUUCUGAAGAGACUGAUAAUGUAAAGGAAACCUGUUGCUACCAAAGUCUAUGGUGAAGUUCAUAGUCAAUAUUGCUAACUAAGGUUUUGUUGAGUUAACCUUUCUGUGAUAUGUUGAGGUCAGUGAUACAUUAAGGCAACAAACACCAUUGUAUGCCCAUGAAUUUUGAUGCAAUGAGCAGCUAUAAUGUCAGUGAUCACUGGUGACACAUGUGACCACAUUAAUCUGAGUGAUUCCAGCUGCCACCAGAACCUAUACUGAUGUCUGUGAUCCAUUUUUCUGCCAUCUGAGACUAUGUUAUAUAAUAAAUAUAUGCUGCCAGCUGUACCACAUUUUAUGUCAAGGAUCCAUCCUGCCAAUAGAAAUGAAGUUUCUGUUCAUAGUCUGAUCUGUCCUCUGAAACUGCAUCAAUGUUACUGAUACCUUCUAGAAGCAAACACUAUGGUGUAUCCUAGAUCACUGAGGCCUCUGGCCCACCAGCAACCAUGAUGAUGUCCAUUAUUCCUAUUGAGGUCCUACCUGCCACAGGAAACUAUGGUGAUGUCCCUGACGUAUGAUUGUAGUUGCUUUGUAGAGCAUGCCAUGUAUAAGAUCCUAACUGUCACCAGAAUAGUUAUUGAUAUAAAUUCUGCAACCUUAUAGAUACUUUCCAGCUGUAACUAUUUUGAUGUUGAGGAUCUAUGCUGGAACUAGAGAAGAGGUUUCAGUAUAUGAUCUGAACUUCCAGUGAAACUAUGAUGUCAAUGACAACUCCACAGUAACAAAAAUUACAGUAUAUCCCGGAUCCAUUCUGUCACAAGUUACAAGAUGUUAGUGAUCCCAGGUCCCGCUAUGGAUUGGGAUGAUUAUAUUAGCGAUCCCACUUUUCCAGUGGAAGCAAUGUUCAUGUCAGUGCUACCUGUUGUCAUCAGCAAACAAUAUGAUGUCCUUCAUUGCUAUUGAGAUUCUACCUGCUACAAGAAACUAUGGUGAGGUCCCUGAUGCGUGCAUUUAUCCCUUGCUACAGACUAUCAUGUAUACUACCACCAGAAGUGAUGUUUGUGUUAGUGAUCCAUCCUGUGACAUUAGAAGAGAUUUAUGCCAAUAGACUCUUUCCCUCUGAGUAUAUACUGACGUCACUGACAUACCUAGCAACAUAUAUGGUAGGAUAGCACAAGAUCCAUGCUGCUACAGGCAACCUCAUCAAUGUUCCCUGUUGCCACUGGAAAUUAUACAAUCAUCACCAAUCUAACCUGCCCUCAGAAAUUAUGUUGAUGUCCAUCAUCCAUGAUGCCAACAGUACCCAUGUUACACAUAGUCCAUGUUGCUUCUGAAGAGAAUGUUAAUAUUAAGGAGUUCUCCAGCCACCAGUGUCUAUUCUGAAGUUUAUAGUCAAUAUUGUUGCCUGAGGUCAUGUUGUGAAGUGUUCUGA